GGAUGCGAUCAUAGCAGCACUAAAGCACCGGAUCCCAUCAGAACUCCGAAGUUAUGGGUGCUUGGGCGAGAGUAGUACUAGGAUGGGUGACCUCGUGUUGCAUUCC
Molecule: ribosomal RNA, 106 nt
Filed under: Triticum aestivum (bread wheat)
Lineage: Eukaryota; Viridiplantae; Streptophyta; Magnoliopsida; Poales; Poaceae
Also listed under: 1 other name
Source: RNAcentral